RNAcentral lists this ribosomal RNA (482 nucleotides) under uncultured bacterium. RNAcentral describes it as "partial 16S ribosomal RNA". It matches the Rfam family "Bacterial small subunit ribosomal RNA", at positions 30 to 507 of the family's 1533-position model. The record is from RNAcentral.
AUUGAACGCUGGCGGCAUGCUUUACACAUGCAAGUCGAACGGUAACAGGCCGCAAGGUGCUGACGAGUGGCGAACGGGUGAGUAAUGCAUCGGAACGUGCCCAGUCGUGGGGGAUAACUACUCGAAAGAGUAGCUAAUACCGCAUACGAUCUAUGGAUGAAAGCGGGGGACCGUAAGGCCUCGCGCGAUUGGAGUGGCCGAUGUCAGAUUAGGUAGUUGGUGGGGUAAAGGCUCACCAAGCCAACGAUCUGUAGCUGGUCUGAGAGGACGACCAGCCACACUGGGACUGAGACACGGCCCAGACUCCUACGGGAGGCAGCAGUGGGGAAUUUUGGACAAUGGGCGCAAGCCUGAUCCAGCAAUGCCGCGUGCAGGAAGAAGGCCUUCGGGUUGUAAACUGCUUUUGUACGGAACGAAACGGCUCUGGUUAAUACCCGGGGCUAAUGACGGUACCGUAAGAAUAAGCAUCGGCUAACUACGUG